This 258-nucleotide long non-coding RNA is filed under the name Homo sapiens (human). Its description in RNAcentral is "non-protein coding LINC00690:5". Lineage: Eukaryota; Metazoa; Chordata; Mammalia; Primates; Hominidae. The record is from RNAcentral.
UUCCGCCUUCCGGAUGGAUGAAAGCAGAAGCAGUGGCUGGAGCUAGAGCAGCUAUUUAGGACUAUGAGAUGGAAGAAAUGUGGUGACAAUAGCAGAACAAAAAUAUAGAAAUCUUGGGUACUUGAUGACCACGGAGCCGCCAUACAAACUCUGGACUAUAAUUUCCAGAGACUGUUUAUCUACAGUUAUCUAACUGCAAGCAACAGAAAUCCACUCUGGGCAACCUAAGCCAGAAAGGAAGAUAAAUUGAAGAACCAG